This 726-nucleotide ribosomal RNA is filed under the name uncultured Paenibacillaceae bacterium. RNAcentral describes it as "bacterial SSU rRNA". The stretch from base 18 to 383 matches the Rfam family "Bacterial small subunit ribosomal RNA", at positions 39 to 400 of the family's 1533-position model. Lineage: Bacteria; Bacillati; Bacillota; Bacilli; Caryophanales; Paenibacillaceae. The record is from RNAcentral.
GCUCAGGACGAACGCUGGCGGCGUGCCUAAUACAUGCAAGUCGAGCGGAUUUAUCCUUCGGGAUAAGUUAGCGGCGGACGGGUGAGUAACACGUAGGCAACCUGCCUAUAAGACUGGGAUAACUAUCGGAAACGAUAGCUAAGACCGGAUAACUGAUUUUCUCGCAUGAGAAAAUUAUGAAACACGGAGCAAUCUGUGGCUUAUAGAUGGGCCUGCGGCGCAUUAGCUAGUUGGUAGGGUAACGGCCUACCAAGGCGACGAUGCGUAGCCGACCUGAGAGGGUGAACGGCCACCCUGGGACUGAUACACGGCCCAGACUCCUACUGGAGGCAGCAGUAGGGAAUCUUUCCCCAAUGGACGCAAGUCCUACUGAGCAACCCCGCGUGUGUGUAAAAAGUUUUUCGGAAUCUAAUAUCUCUGUUUGUCCCCUGUAUUAUCCUCUAGGAGGCCUCAUCUGCCCUUUUUGUGUCGACCAGCCUACGCAGAAACCAAGUCCUCCGGCUUAACUAUCCUUGCCCUUCAUUCCGCUAGAUUAUUACCCUAAGGUAGUUAAGCUAUCUCUCCCAGUAUAUCUAUCUGAGGCCCCUAUACUUUUUCUCACUCUUGGCUUUCUUUCAUAUAUCCUUUUCAUCUGUUCUCCAAACACUAAGGAAAUACUUCCCCUCAUCACGUUACUAUCGCCACAUCUUGCCUUAUUCUAUUCUCUACCCGAUAAUAACGAUUAUU